CAGAUCCUACGGGGGGCAGCAGUAGGGAAUCUUCCACAAUGGACGAAAGUCUGAUGGAGCAACGCCGCGUGAGUGAAGAAGGGGUUCGGCUCGUAAAUCUCUGUUGGUAGUGAAGAAAGAUAGAGGUAGUAACUGGCCUUUAUUUGACGGUAAUUACUUAGAAAGUCACGGCUAACUACGUGCCAGCAGCCGCGGUAAUACGUAGGUGGCAAGCGUUGUCCGGAUUUAUUGGGCGUAAAGCGAGUGCCGGCGGUUUAAUAAGGCU
RNAcentral lists this ribosomal RNA (265 nucleotides) under uncultured bacterium. RNAcentral describes it as "partial 16S ribosomal RNA". It matches the Rfam family "Bacterial small subunit ribosomal RNA", at positions 332 to 590 of the family's 1533-position model. The record is from RNAcentral.